RNAcentral lists this long non-coding RNA (5612 nucleotides) under Hordeum vulgare. RNAcentral describes it as "long non-coding RNA (HVUL_LNC004840)". Lineage: Eukaryota; Viridiplantae; Streptophyta; Magnoliopsida; Poales; Poaceae. The record is from RNAcentral.
GACCACUUCAGCCAGACCGAGCAGCAGAAGUGCGCCGCCAGGUCAGCCCCGCCGCGUCCCUCUUUCCGUGGCUCCCUUUUCCCUCUCGUUCUCUGAUCUCUCUCUCGUCAAGAAGGAGAAGCAUCCAUGGCGUGUGUAGCUUUAAGGCAAACAAGUGGGGAUGACGGGACCCGACGCCAACACCCCGUCCUCGCCUGGUUCCUGCGAAAACCGAGCCCCGACGAGCUCCUCGUCCCAGAUCCGGCCCUCCCCAACCUCUCCAUCCCCAGCUGCGUCCGUGCCGAGGCGUUGACCUGCUUCCCGUCCAUAGCCAGCCUCAUCUGCUUCUCAGGUUCAGAUUCAGCGUUUUUAAUCUCGUUCAGAUCCGCGUAAGUACUAAUUCACCUUGCGAAAUCCUUUGUUUGUAGCACAAACACGCAGCAGUCCAACUGGUCAGCUCGUUGGUCUGCAUCGAGGAGGUCGUGGGUUCAAAUCCCCCCAACUCCACAUUUAUUUUGUUUUCUGCAAAUAUUGUCUCUCGGGAAUGAGAUCCUCGUGUUGCUUCAUUUAUGCUAGAGGCCCAAUUAUUUUCACGUGUAGUAGCCUGCCCAGUUGGUUAGCGUCAAUGCUUUGCACCUGAGGUCCUGGGAUCGAAUCCUAGGGAGCCUCUUUAUUUUUUUUCCUGUGUGUUCUUUUUCAAUCAUGCUCACAGAGACGUCUCGGGCUGAUUCCAGCCCCGCGCCCGGUGCACUUUGGUUCAAUUCGGGCCAUGUAGAUUUUUUUUCCUUCUGCGAUGUAUUGUUUAAUCUACCGAUUUACCGUUUUCAAGCAUAUUUUAAAAUUGGUUUUAACUUUUAAACCGUGCAUCGGAUCGGAAUAAUUUUUAUAUGAAACUUGACUAGAAUUUCAUGUAGAUUAAUAAUUUCCAACUUUCAUGCAUGAUAAAAAUACUUAAACAUGAUGUUUGCAUCGGUUUGCGUGUUGACGUGAUAGAAACGGUUUAGCCCAUAGUUAUUUAACCGUAGCUCCUUUGGAGAUGUGCCAUAUAGGAAAAUGGAGCAGAACGACGAGUAGAAUCAUGUGAACCACUUUGUUUUGGCGUUUAACAAACCUAAAUUGUGAUUAGGACAAAUCUGGACAGAAUUAAGAUGUAACACGUGGGGUCAUUUCAGAGAUGUUAUAUGACAUUUCCGGUCUCAUUUAAAAUGCCUAGCUAGGUAGAUUAAUUUAUGCUUCACCCCGUGUCAUGUUUGACAACAUUAAAAUUGCCGUGUAAAUAACCGGGAGUGAACUAAGUAAUUAAUAUGUGGAGUUUCAUCAAUAUGCAACUCGUUGCACAUUGAGCUUCACAUAAUGUGUAGUGUUUGAUUGUUGUGAUUGGCAUGCCUGGCAUUAGACCGUUCAUGCAUCAUAUGUGUCUUGCAUCGUGUGGUGAUUCUCGUGUGGUGAUGCUUGUUUCCGGUUUGCUUCAUCUCGAUAGAGUUCCGCAAGCGUGUCGGAUUGUGAGGACCCGUUCGACUACAUCGGUUCGUCUGCUUCAUGGAGUCAUUCUUCUUCCAAGCGGGAUCUCAGGCAAGAUGAUCAUUUCCCCAGAUACCAUUACUAUCAUUGCCAUGCUAGUUUUAUCGCUUCUAUCGAUUAUGUCUUGUUGCCUACCACAUGUUAAAUAUCAGCCUCUCAACAAUACCAUGAUAACCUUCAACCUGUUCGACCUAGCAAACCAAUGAUUGGCUAUGUUACUGCUUGAUUAUCCAUGUUGUUAGCGUUGCUAGUUGCAGGUGUAGUUGCUUCCAUGUGAUAACAUGCGUUCCUUUUCAUACCACCAUAUUCAAUGCUAUUUAAUUUAAUGCACCUAUAUACUUGGUAAAAGGUGGAAGGCUCGGUCUUUCUAGCCUGGUGUUUUGUUGCACCUUUGCCCCCUUAGUUUCGGCUACCGGUGUUAUGUUCCAUAAACGAGAGCUCCUAACAUGAUCGGGGUUGUUAUGGGGACCCCUUGAUAAUUCGUUUUAGAUUAAAGCUGGUCUGGCAAGGCCCAACAUUGGUACUACAUUUGCCCAACAUAAUGACUUUGUUAAUACUGAAAGCACAGGGCGUCAUGAACCCGAGGAGUAAUUUCACAUAAUACAGGGAGGGCCGGUGCUGAUGGUGCUGGUCCAAAACGGAGCACCGUGCGGGGCCACCGCGAGGAAACUCGAGGUUUGGCACUCAUACGCUUCGUGUUCAUCUUUAUUUAGUCUUGUCAUCCUUACCGGUGAAUUCAAUUUAGUUGUCGGUGUCAUCUUAUCCAUUCAUCCUUGUAAUUCUUUCCUAUAUUGGAAAUUGUUAUGAGCCUAUCUUGUUGCUAAUUCCUCUCUCUUUCUAUCCGGAGUGUCAAGAUAUUUCAGAAGUUUUUGUUUCCAAUCUUUUCAAUUAUUUCGAGCUGCUAACCUCAUCUAGUUCUCUUCAUACCGGUGCAUUAUCUCUCUUCUAAGCAAUCUUUUCAAUGGUGGUUUCUUUGAGUGGGCCCAUAACCCACAGGUUCUUUCCCAGGAUCUGUCCUGGCUCUUUUAAAAAAAUUCCCGAAGUUCUCUAAUUAUUUCAACUAUGACAUAAGUAUGAAUUUCAUCAGUCAUAUCCCUUCUCCAAGGCCUAUUCGAAUUAAUUCUCAUAUUUGGCUCAAUCUUGCAUUCUCUUAUUCCGGAGUGCCCUAGUUAAUUCUUGGUGGUGUUCUUCUCAUCAUCCUCUUCUUUCAAGUCCGAAGAAGUGUUUCUCUCGAAUCUUGGUUCAUUCUCUUGGAAAUUCAUCAUUUCAGCUUGGUGUCGUCAUCUUAUUUGCUCCAAUCAUGGGUAAUCCCUUUCUGCUAUUCGGUGCACUUCUGAGUUGUUUUCAUUCUCGAUCCUCCGAAGGCCAUCAUUUCAGAAGACUUCUUCGUUCUCAGGUUUCAGCUUUCAUCCGCAAUUCUUCUCAAUUGUUGUCUCUUCGUUCGUCUCUCGAUUAUCCGGUGCCUUGUUCAAGUUUUCUCUCAGGUGGCUCAUGAUCUCUUCAUUCUCAGGUGUUUCCAUGCAUUCUUGGAAUUCCCAUUCAAUUGGGAAUUCUUUCCGGUGCUUCCUUCAAUUAUGCCUCAAGUGGCGCUUAUCUCUCUGUGCAUCUUCAAGAUUCAUUUCUAGUAGAAUAAGUCGUAUGCUAGAUCCGUUGCUUGUCAUCAAUUUAAUUUGAUGAAGGAUGAGCAUAACAUAAUUCUUAUUAUUGUCCUUCCUUCUUCCAAGAGAUUUCAAUUCUUCUUCCGGAGGGCCCAUGAUAUCAAUUCUUUUCUCAAGUGCCUAUCUUUUCUUUUCCGGAGUUCCAAGUUCUUUUAAGUAUCUCUUUGUGAGGCUUCAUCUAAAUAUUGGUAAGGUCAUAAUCUUAUUCUUUUCUACCUUCAUAUUGUUGCAUCAUUCAUUUGUAUACGAAGGUCCUUCAUGGUGGUUCAUCAAGGUUUCAAUUCAUUCUCAAGUGUUCUUCAAGAAUCUUAUUGGAGAACCUCAAGUUUUUCUUCUCUUGCAUUUCCAAGUGCAUUUGUUCUUCCUUUUCCUUUGAGGUGGUAUUAUAGCAUUCUUGUUAGUGUAGGAGCCUCGAAGAGUUUUCCUUUCAAGUAUGAGAUAAUUAAACCCACCAAUUCUUUGAUCAUGAAAUAUUUUCAACCCAUGAUUUCUUCAUUUGAGCUAUCUUGGUUUGGAUUUCACCUAUAGCUUUUCCUAUGGAUUGUUGCUAUCAUGGUGUUUGUCAUUAAUCCCAGUUCUCAAUGUACCCUCUUGGUGUAAGAAGUGUCCAUUUCUUGUUGCUCCCAAGCUAUCCUUGUUCCUUUAGCGGUUGGUUGUCACUUCGUAUUGUUGAGAUGAUUUUCAUAAGCCCACUACUAUCUUGUUCCUUUGGUUGUUGGGUUUCCAAUUGCUACGUCAAUUCUCAGUCCGGAGGAUCUUCAAUUCUAUUGUGAUGAUAGUUGUCAUUCUUUUCUUCAUUCUCUUCUUCCGUAUGAGCUAGUUAAUAUUCUCUUGUUCCGGAGGCAUUGUGACGUUGCUCUUUGGGUCAAUCAUGUUAUCCUAUCAAGGUCAUGUUGUUCCCUUGUUCUAUUUACUUGUUUGUUGUGAAUAUUGUCUAUUUCUACCUUCUUAUCGAAUUUUUUGUCCCAUUUUCCUACCGAAGUGCUGCCGAAAUUUUCCGUGAAUUCUUGCUUCUUUCCCAUGUCAUUCCUCAUCUCCUUGCAACCUUCAAGGAUCGUUGGUUUCACUCGUUUGUCAAGAAGCGACUAAAUUUUUACCUCUUGCUUUCUCAUCCUCUCCCCCUUUCUUGGAUCUCGGGGCGAGAUCCUCUUGUAGUGUAGGAGAGUUGUGACACCCGAUGCCGACGUUCCAGAAGAUUCUCCUUUCUUUCUGUUUUCGCCGUGUGUCUAUUUUUCUUUUGUCGCAUCAUCAUCGCAUCAUGCGCAUCAUCUGCAUUGCAUCGGCAUCUCCGUUGCCGCCAGUUUUCAAAACUUGCAUCCGUUGUUAGUUGCCGGUUCUCGUCGUUGUCCGUUCUGAGCCCGACCGCACACGCACGCACCCGCGGCAUCGUCGAACCCAGUUUUAAAAGUGUGCGAAAACCUUCUCUGAUUGGCUUGCUAUUCGACGUGCGGUCGUAUUUUAAUAUAGCUAGACCGCCUGUCGAAUUUCGUCGCGAUCGGAGUCCGUCUGGUACGCGAACGGUCGACCGUAGCGGCACCGUAUUCGGACUACCGUCGGAAGGUUGUCGGUGUUUUUAAAAUACGUUGCCGCGUCGCCCGUUUUCCCUCUCAUCCCUGCCUAGCCCCUCUGCGCAGUGCACCGACCUGUCCGCAACCUAGUCCGGAACCUUCCCCGGAUCCGAACCGGGCGGUCGUGACCGUUGGAUCCGGAUCAACCCCGUUUUACCGCAAAACGUCAUCGGUUUGUCCAUUGGGCUUCCUAGCCUAUUUAUUUCGUCCGUCCGAUUUAAUCGGAGGGUCUUGGCAACCCCUACCACAAAUCCGCUUAUUGUAAUUAUGUCCAUUCUAGCCUAACCCUAGCCUACCCCUAUCCAAUCCCUCAUCCCGCUGCCACCUGCUUGCCUUGGAAUCCCCAGCUACCCAACCAGCCUCCUCCUCCAUCGGGUUCCUCCCUGAUUCCAAAACAAAUCCAUCCAUCCAUCCAGAACCGCCGCCUCCCUCGAUCCGCCUGCGUGCACCAGCCCCAGCGACCGUGAGGCCACCAGCAGAGGAGCCAUGGGCGCCGUCAAGCUCCACCUGCUCCAUGGACCAGCAGGUCCCCUGUUGCAGCCCCGCCAUGGUCUUCUCGGAGCUCACUGCAGUGGCCCGCACCGACAGCAGUAGCAGCCAGCCGCGCCGUGACCUUCGACCACUUCAGCCAAACCGCGAAGCAGAAGUGCGCCGCCAGGUCAGCCCCGCCGCGUCCCUCUUUCCGUGGCUCCCUUUUCCCUCUCGUUCUCUGAUCUCUCUCUCGUCGGGAAGGAGCAGCAUCCAUGGCGUGUGUAGCUUCAAGGAAAACAAGUGGGGAUGACGGGACCCGACGGCAGCACCCCGUCCUCGCCUGGUUCCUGCGAAAACCGAGCCCCGACGAGCUCCUCGUCCCAGAUCCGGCCCUCCCCAACCUCUCCAUCGCCAG